AUGUUUUAUAACAUGUCUUUGCUGGAUUGAUUCAUGAGAUCCAGGGGUAGGCAAGCACUUGUUCCGUUGAACUGAUAUCCAGAAAAUAAAACAAAACUGAAGCGUGCAAUUGCAUAUUCCAGAUCUAAUCUGCUAUAGAAACUAGAAAAGCCGACCUUGUUGCCCCUCCUCUUACUUCUCAGCUUAUGCUGGAUCUCUUAAGCAGAGGCGAUCUUCUUCAGAAAGAUAUGUACUGUAAAAAAUAGACCAUGACAACCAAAGCCCAUCCGAAGGUCCCGAGCUGUGUGUUAACAACUGUGGUUUCUUUGGAAGUUCUGCCACAAACAACAUGUGUUCAAAGUGUCACAAGGCUGUGUUGUUCCAACAGGAACAAGGGGCUAAGUUUGCAUCAUCAAUGUUUGGAACAUCAUCACCCAGUAACAUCAUAAAGGAAACCUUUACUGCUGCGUUGGUUGAUGCUGAAACCAAAUCCGUUGAGCCAAUGGUUGUGUCUGUACAGCCAUCCUAUGUGCAAGACGUUGCAGAGGUUGUAGCACUAGAAGCUGUAGCAAAACCAAAAGGAAGGACCAAGCUGAUGUACUACUUGCAAUAAACGGUUGGUUUGACUGGAUUCAACUGCGGGACACACCGCUAUGCAGACGUACACAACUGCUCCUUAAAUUACCAUGCUGCUGCGCAAGAAGCUGACCCGAUUGGUGAUUCACAUACUAAAGCAAACCCGUUUGUGAAGGCAGAGAGGCAUGACAAGAUCUGAAACUCGACAUUCGGUUUCCUUUUUCCUGUCUCUCUGGUUGAAGGUGUGUCCAUGUUAAAAAAGGUUUUUAUAAAUGGUUGAAGAGCCAAAAGUGUGUUGAUCUUUAGCUUCUUCCAUUCUCUUUUGGUAUGAAACUUUUUUAUUAUCUUUUGUUUGCAAGCAGAGAAAUGUGCUCUUAAAAAAUGUGGUAUGAUGUGUUUCCCUUAUUAUUUAUGAGGUUAAUGUUUGUUAGGCUUUCUCCUUUGUGUCUGUAUCAUAUUUGAUUUUCUGCAUCAUAUGUAAAAAUAAAUUUUUUAAAAUAA
Brassica napus (rape) is the source of this 1056-nucleotide RNA transcript. It is a transcript of the gene named zinc finger A20 and AN1 domain-containing stress-associated protein 2, with no coding region annotated. Lineage: Eukaryota; Viridiplantae; Streptophyta; Magnoliopsida; Brassicales; Brassicaceae. The transcript has 2 exons. The record is from RefSeq and is a predicted model, not a curated record.